UUCCUUCUUAUAGCCAAAAAAAGAAAGGCCAACUUACCAUCAGAUGCUGAAGAAUUUUCUACAUUUAUUAAUUCCAUAAUGAGUGAUGAAAAUAUGUCCAAGACACAAACAGUUUAUGACUCAGACUCUCAAUCAGGUUCUAGUGCUAAAGAAAAGGACCGAGGAGCAAAUUUGUGUGUAAUGGAUCAUUUUAUGAAAAUCUUUUUAUACUGCAGGAGAGCAAUGGUUCUUGCUCAUCGUGGUGGCUAUUGGACUCUGCUUCAGAACUGCUGUCGGGCCUUAUGGAACUUUACUCAGGAACUACAAAUACUUCUUAAACAGGCAGUGGAUCUUGAUAAAACAUUUCCUAUUAGCCAAGAUGGUUUCCUGUGCACCUCUGUUUUACCAUUCUAUUUGGGAGCAGAAUUACUUAUUGACAUGUUAAUACAACUACAAAAUACCAGUUCUAUUAAGCCUAUUGAAGACAAAGGAGAAUUCAGUGUUCCAAGCUGUUAUGGGAAUAUUAAAAAUGACAACGGUGGUUCUAGUCUUACCUUUGAGCAUCCUUUGGAUGAUGUAAAUGUGGUUGAUUUGAAAUGGAUCCACGACUUUGUAUUAAAAUCUCUGGAAGUUUUAUAUCAAGUGGAAAAAUGGGAAACACUUGUAUCUCUUGCCAUUCAGUUCAAUACAGUUUCACAUGAGAGGUAUACAGAACAAGUGACACCACUUCUGGUGUAUGCACAGCGCCAGCUUCUGCUGAGAAUACAGAAGUUCAAGGGCCCAGAUAUUACCCAACAACCUUGUGCAAGGUAUGAGGCUGAAUAUGGAGAGAAGAUAACCUGCCGAAAUUUCAUUGGGAAGCAGCUUAAGAUUAAUUCUUCAACCAUUGAAGAAACAAGCAACUGCACAGAUUUGCUAAAAAUGCUUAUCUCUUCAGAAUACAGCCGAGCCAAAGCACUUGUCUGCGUGCCCGUGGACGUGACAGACACCUUGAGGUGUUUUAGAGAGACACUGGAAAAAUCCAAAUACCAUAACAGAUCAAUCCGACACAGCAGGAAGUUGCUUUCAUUAUUUCUUGCACAGACACAAGAUGUUCUCCAAGCCAGCAAUCAAAGAAGUCUUAAAGUUCAGGCGUUGCAUUCACUUGGAAGUCUUCUCAUCUUUGCAGAAAAGAAAAGGGCUGCUUUUAAGUGUUGGUGUCAAGCUCUUGAUGACAUAUUCAGAAAACCAGAUGUGCUACACACGUGGAAAGAAUUUGGCCCCUCACUCAUCAAUGUCACCAACAGUCAUUCACCUCCGGGUUUCAAAGACUACAGUGAGGAGUUUCUGUCAAGAGUUGGCAUCUGGGGGUGUUUGCAAGGAGCAGUCAUAUCAGCAAAGAUAGCACAAUUUAUUAAGUCAUUGAAUGUUGAAAAGAAAACUGACUGUUGCAUUUUGUCUGCGUUACUCUUUCAGGGUUUGCUUAGAACCACACUUCCACAUCCCAAAGCUGAACGUUGCUAUGCUCAAUAUGAAAUCACUCAGCUUCUCCCAGGCAUUGAACUCUUCUCAGAUAGAUACAGGGCUGACAUUUGCUCUGUAAUUGCAAGUCUGUAUUACAUUAUACGUGAACUGCACUUUGUUAGGCAAAACCUAAUAGUUCUGCCUCUCUUUGCAUUGUAUCAAUAUUUUGUUUCUGGAAUUUGUCAAGACAUAACAAGAAAUCUAGAAGCAAGAAUCCUCAAGAUAGAAGUCCUUAUAGAUUUGAGAUUCUUUUCUGAAGCCUUUUAUGAGAUAUCCCAAAUUUUCUAUGGAAAAAACAUGCCUUGUCCAAUACCUGCAGGCUAUAAAGCCACUGGAAAAAUGAAGAUCUUUCAAUCAUUUGACUCAGGAAAACCUCUUACCAGUAAAGAAAAUAUACAGGCAAUUGAUGAAUUAAGAAAUAAAGGCUUGCCUGCAGUUCUGGUUACAAUUGGCCAACCGCAUCUCUUAAAUAAGUUUAAUUUUGUUAAAGCAUACUUUUUCCUAAGUGUGGCUGCGACAAUAAAUUGUGUCCCAGAAAAUAAAUUUAAGACAGUAAUUACCAACAAGAGCAAACCAAACCUACCAAACUUGAAAGAGAUAUAUUCAAAGGAUGAUGGAAGUUCAUUUUAUAAUCUUACAAAACUUAAAGAUGAGAUCACUCUUAGCAUGCUAAAGUCGAUGUUACUGAUGGAAGCUGAGGACAGGCUAAACUUCCUUCUGUCCGAGGUGGAACAGAAGACCCUGUCUCAGUGCUCCGCUGGCGAGCUGGAGAUUGUGGUGGAGGCCCGGCUUCAGCUGGCUGCAGUUGCUCUGCAGAGGCACCGGGCGGCAUACAGUGCUGCAAUAGUAUUUUCUACACUUACACUUCUCCAGGAUUCAAAACUUUUUAAAAAGAAGGUAGUACAGGAUGACACAGAGAAUCCUGUCUCUCCAGGAACUUCUGCCACUGAAAAUAAAGAUGACAAUGAGUUUUUAGAUCCUAUUUCCCUAAAUGCCCGAGAAUAUUUCAACAUUCAUCUGUGGUUGAGGUGCCGCUUAGCAUUGGUGACUGCGUUUGUUGCACAGAUUCAUGGCAUUGGAAUUGUGAAAGAGGAUGAUAUGACAGAUUGCCUGAGCCUCAUCAAUGAAGUGUGUAUGGAGGCAAAAAGCGCAGGCGACACGGAACUGCAGGCUGAAUUCUUGACGCAAGCUGUAAUUCUUGGCCUACAAGAAAAGCAUUUAAAGGCAGACAUCAUGACAAACCUUCAGGAUAUAAUACAUUUGCUGGAAGGAAAUGAAUUUAUUUCUCCUCAAUCACGGCUAACCCUGGCAAGAAGCCUAGUUUUGCUGGAUGACUUAACCAAAGCUGAGAAAUUCAAGGAAUCUCCCUUUUCAAAAACAGGAAAAUUAAAUUUGUUAACUCGGGCUCAUAGCAUUCUAACUGAACAGAUGCUAGCUUUUGGAGAAACAAUUGAAUUUCGUUCAUCAAACACUAAAUAUGCAAAUCCAUUACAGCCUUUGAAAAAUAUCUAUCUUCCCCAUGUCAUGUUAUUGGCCAAAAUAAAAAUGAGAAUUGGACAUACAGUGGCCAAGCAAGUAUAUUACAAGAAUAAAAGGAAGGACCCCUCGAAGUGGUUACCUGCUCUUCAUCUGUUUGAUGUGGCACUGAAGCUCUGUAGAACAACAGCAGUGGAGGAACAUGAGGUGGAAGCUGAAAUCCUUUUUCAGAAAGGCAAAAUAGAACGUCAAAUACUAAUGGAAGAGAAAUCUCCAAGUUUUCAACUUGAGAGUUUAUAUGAAGCUAUACAACUAAGCCUGAAAAAUGAUCAAAACUCGGGAUUGAUAAGAGACUCCUACCUAGAAAUGGCUCUAUUGUAUUUUCAUCUGAAGAAGCCAAAGAUAAAAAUUUCAGGAUCACCAUUAACACUUAAGCCUCCUCUCAGAAGAAGUAGUUCUGUUAAAGAAACAUCAGCAAAUAAAUUUGAAAUGUACAGUUCAUUAGCCUGGAUUGCAAUAAGAGCUGCUGCACAGGUCAGUGAAGCUGUGCUGGCAAUUAACUUACUUAUUGGAAAGAAGAAUACUAGAAUGCAUAAAGUUAACCAAGUGGCAUUACCAAAUAUCCCAGAAUUUGCUGCUCUGGAUCUUUUGUCUUCGUAUACAGAUUAUUUGCUUGGUAUGUUUGGAUGUCUACAUAUUAUGCAAAAAAACUGAUAUAUGUAAUAUAG
This 3686-nucleotide small RNA is filed under the name Pan troglodytes (chimpanzee). RNAcentral's name for it is "retained intron". Lineage: Eukaryota; Metazoa; Chordata; Mammalia; Primates; Hominidae. The record is from RNAcentral.